RNAcentral lists this long non-coding RNA (451 nucleotides) under Sus scrofa (pig). RNAcentral describes it as "lncRNA (ENSSSCG00055022362.1, ENSSSCG00065076981.1)". Lineage: Eukaryota; Metazoa; Chordata; Mammalia; Artiodactyla; Suidae. The record is from RNAcentral.
CGGAUGUUCUGUCCGGGAGUUUCGAGGAUGGCUGCAGCCUUCGGACGCGUGGCCACAUGGCCUCUGACCGCCGGGGCCCCGGGCAGGAGCGCGCGGCCGCCUUGAGUCUGUGUGAAAUCGGGUCAGCGCGGAAGUGCCGUUUAAGGUCUAGAUCUUCAUAACUUUCAGGAUGCAGAACUUGGAUUUUAAGAUGCGGAAAUUAGUGUCACCAGCUUUGGAGCUGAAAGAUGGACGCUUGAAGCAUAGACUCGCUAGCUUAAUACAUGACUAUGAGGAAGCAGAAAGAUGACCUAAGGGUGUCCUUGCUGAGGAAUUUGACGACUUGAUCUUCAAGAGUUGGUUAGGGUUAUGUAAAAUUUUCAAGAUUACUAAAAAUUACUGCUUUUUGAGCAGUCCAUAAAUGUACACAUAAAACAGUGGGGCUAUAAAUAAAAUGGUUUGUUUCUCGGAA